This 423-nucleotide unclassified non-coding RNA is filed under the name Zea mays. RNAcentral's name for it is "misc RNA Zm00001eb026380". Lineage: Eukaryota; Viridiplantae; Streptophyta; Magnoliopsida; Poales; Poaceae. The record is from RNAcentral.
CUGAGCCUGACGCCUGCGCGCACCAGCCACCAGACGAGAGAGGGAGCCGAGGACGAGCGUCAGGAAGGGGAUGAGGUGAGGGCGGUCGGGCUGGAGCAGAGAAGCAGGGAGGAGCUCGGAGCUGGCAGCCCAGAGCCAUGGGCGAGGAUCUCCAAUCACGGGCACGAAGAAGCGGCGCUUGAGGGAGGAGACCGGAGGGGAUGCGACCAGCGCGACGCCCACCAGAGGGACUUGCGCGCGCGGGAGCUCCGCGGCGCUGGAGCAGGGACACGCCGGGAAAGAGCGGCAGCAGGAGAGCGCGCGGUGGGAGGGAGCUCAGGGAAGAGAGGCGAACUGGAGAUGGAGGCCGAUCAGGAACGACUUCAGCAACUGGAGAUGGAGCACGAAGGAGUUUCUAUGCCUCGUACAUGCUCUUUGGCCUGA